CUCGCGGUGCGUCCUGGAUUGUGGGUAGGAUUAUCUAUUGCUCUCUUCUCUCUCGAACCAGCGCUAGCCGCUUUUCUCUCUCAUCGGUAAGCCAUAAUCUAUUUAUCCACCAAUCUCUCACCAAUAAUCACAAUAUCGAAAUCGAAAUCGAGAAUUUUAUUUCUCUACUGAUUCAAUUUCUAGGGUUUAUUGUUGUUUCUCCUCUUUGUUUGACUAUAAUUUCUAGGGUUUCAGUCGUCCUAUCUGUUUCCUCGUUAAUUGUUCGACGAAAUUUGUAGCUCUAUACGUCAAUAGUGGAGGAUCUGAAAUCUGUUGCGUUACUGCUUUGGAUUACUUUGGUUUUAGCUCUUAGAUCCGAGGUUGGCCUCGAAUCGA
RNAcentral lists this unclassified non-coding RNA (375 nucleotides) under Hevea brasiliensis (rubber tree). Lineage: Eukaryota; Viridiplantae; Streptophyta; Magnoliopsida; Malpighiales; Euphorbiaceae. The record is from RNAcentral.